Molecule: ribosomal RNA, 328 nt
Filed under: uncultured eukaryote
Lineage: Eukaryota
Description: partial 18S ribosomal RNA
Rfam family: Eukaryotic small subunit ribosomal RNA
Source: RNAcentral
CCCUUAGAUGUUCUGGGCCGCACGCGCGCUACACUGAUGCACUCAACGAGUCUCUACCUUGACCGAAAGGUCCGGGAAACCUUCGAACUUGCAUCGUGAUGGGGAUAGAUUAUUGCAACUAUUAAUCUUCAACGAGGAAUACCUAGUAGGCGCAUGUCAUCAGCGUGCGUCGAUUACGUCCCUGCCCUUUGUACACACCGCCCGUCGCUCCUACCGAUUGAAUGAUCCGGUGAGCUUUUUGGACUGUGGUCACGGCAUUGGUUCGCCAAUCUGAGAUCGCGGGAAGAUGCGCAAACCUUAUCAUUUAGAGGAAGGAGAAGUCGUANCA